Molecule: non-coding RNA, 29 nt
Filed under: Rattus norvegicus (Norway rat)
Lineage: Eukaryota; Metazoa; Chordata; Mammalia; Rodentia; Muridae
Source: RNAcentral
UAGUUCAAAUGUCACCUCUUCCACAGAGC